RNAcentral lists this ribosomal RNA (1088 nucleotides) under uncultured bacterium. RNAcentral's name for it is "bacterial SSU rRNA". It matches the Rfam family "Bacterial small subunit ribosomal RNA", at positions 1 to 1104 of the family's 1533-position model. The record is from RNAcentral.
GGAUCCAGACUUUGAUUAUGGCUCAGGACGAACGCUGGCGGCGUGCUUAACACAUGCAAGUCGAACGAUGAAGCCUAGCUUGCUGGGUGGAUUAGUGGCGAACGGGUGAGUAACACGUGAGUAACCUGCCCUUGACUCUGGGAUAAGCACUAGAAAUGGUGUCUAAUACCGGAUACGACCCUCGGAGGCAUCUUCAGGGGGUGGAAAGAAUUUCGGUCAAGGAUGGACUCGCGGCCUAUCAGGUAGUUGGUGAGGUAAUGGCUCACCAAGCCGACGACGGGUAGCCGGCCUGAGAGGGUGACCGGCCACACUGGGACUGAGACACGGCCCAGACUCCUACGGGAGGCAGCAGUGGGGAAUAUUGCACAAUGGGCGAAAGCCUGAUGCAGCAACGCCGCGUGAGGGACGACGGCCUUCGGGUUGUAAACCUCUUUUAGUAGGGAAGAAGCGAAAGUGACGGUACCUGCAGAAAAAGCACCGGCUAACUACGUGCCAGCAGCCGCGGUAAUACGUAGGGUGCAAGCGUUGUCCGGAAUUAUUGGGCGUAAAGAGCUCGUAGGCGGUUUGUCGCGUCUGCUGUGAAAUCCGGAGGCUCAACCUCCGGCCUGCAGUGGGUACGGGCAGACUAGAGUGCGGUAGGGGAGAUUGGAAUUCCUGGUGUAGCGGUGGAAUGCGCAGAUAUCAGGAGGAACACCAAUGGCGAAGGCAGAUCUCUGGGCCGUAACUGACGCUGAGGAGCGAAAGCAUGGGGAGCGAACAGGAUUAGAUACCCUGGUAGUCCAUGCCGUAAACGUUGGGAACUAGAUGUAGGGGCCAUUCCACGGUUUCUGUGUCGCAGCUAACGCAUUAAGUUCCCCGCCUGGGGAGUACGGCCGCAAGGCUAAAACUCAAAGGAAUUGACGGGGGCCCGCACAAGCGGCGGAGCAUGCGGAUUAAUUCGAUGCAACGCGAAGAACCUUACCAAGGCUUGACAUAUACCGGAAACCUGCAGAAAUGUAGGCCCCGCAAGGUCGGUAUACAGGUGGUGCAUGGUUGUCGUCAGCUCGUGUCGUGAGAUGUUGGGUUAAGUCCCGCAACGAGCGCAACCC